AGCAGCCGCGGUAAUUCCAGCUCCAAUAGCGUAUAUUAAAGUUGUUGCUGUUAAAAAGCUCGUAGUUGAAUUUCGGGACCAAUAUGUCGGUCGUGCCUCGGUACGUACUGGCAUCGUUGGUUUCUCCCUUCUGACGAACCAUGAUGUCAUUUAUUUGGUGUCGUGGGGAAUCAGGACUGUUACUUUGAAAAAAUUAGAGUGUUUAAAGCAGGCUCACGCUUGAAUACAUUAGCAUGGAAUAAUGAAAUAGGACGUUUGAUUCUAUUUUGUUGGUUUCUAGGAUCGACGUAAUGAUUAAUAGGGAUAGUUGGGGGCAUUAGUAUUCAAUUGUCAGAGGUGAAAUUCUUGGAUUUAUUGAAGACUAACUACUGCGAAAGCAUUUGCCAAGGAUGUUUUCAUUAAUCAAGAACGAAAGUUAGGGGAUCGAAGACGAUCAGAUACCGUCGUAGUCUUAACCAUAAACUAUGCCGACUAGGGAUCGGAUGAUGUUAAUUUUUAAUGACUCGUUCGGUCGCCUUAA
RNAcentral lists this ribosomal RNA (520 nucleotides) under uncultured Glomus. RNAcentral's name for it is "SSU rRNA". It matches the Rfam family "Eukaryotic small subunit ribosomal RNA", at positions 569 to 1091 of the family's 1831-position model. Lineage: Eukaryota; Fungi; Glomeromycota; Glomeromycetes; Glomerales; Glomeraceae. The record is from RNAcentral.